This 119-nucleotide small RNA is filed under the name Marmota monax (woodchuck). The record is from RNAcentral. Lineage: Eukaryota; Metazoa; Chordata; Mammalia; Rodentia; Sciuridae.
GCUGGGUGUGGCGGCAAUGCACCUGUAGCUCCAGCUACUUGGGAGGCUGAGGUGGGAGGAUCGCCUUGAGCCCAGGAAUGCAAGACCAGCCUGGGAAAUACGGUGAGAUCCUGUCUCUG